This 324-nucleotide unclassified non-coding RNA is filed under the name soil metagenome. RNAcentral's name for it is "partial contains 5.8S ribosomal RNA, internal transcribed spacer 2, and large subunit ribosomal RNA". The stretch from base 1 to 120 matches the Rfam family "5.8S ribosomal RNA", at positions 35 to 154 of the family's 154-position model. The record is from RNAcentral.
GAUGAAGAACGUAGCGAAAUGCGAUAAGUAAUGCGAAUUGCAGAAUUCAGUGAGUCAUCGAAUCUUUGAACGCACAUUGCGCCCUGUGGUAUUCCGCAGGGCAUGCCUGUUCGAGCGUCAUUUCAACCCUCAAGCCUCGCUUGGUGUUGGGCCCUGCCCGCCGCGGCCGGCCCUAAAGAUAGUGGCGGCGCCGCCUGGCCCUCAGCGUAGUACAGCUCUCGCUCCAGGGUCCGGCGGCAGCCUGCAAGAACCCCCCAACUCUGUGGUUGACCUCGGAUCAGGUAGGGAUACCCGCUGAACUUAAGCAUAUCAAUAAGCGGAGGA